GAAAUGCGAUAAGUAAUGUGAAUUGCAGAAUUCAGUGAAUCAUCGAAUCUUUGAACGCACCUUGCGCUCCUUGGUAUUCCGAGGAGCAUGCCUGUUUGAGUGUCAUUAAAUUCCUCAACCUUUGGUUGGAUGUGGGUUUGCCGGCUUGAGUCAGCUUACCUUAAAUGCAUUAAUGUCUAUUGGUGUGAUAAUUAUCUACGCCAUAACCACAAUACAUGACCAUUUGACCUCAAAUCAGGUAGGACUACCCGCUGAACUUAA
This 261-nucleotide unclassified non-coding RNA is filed under the name uncultured Agaricales. RNAcentral describes it as "sequence contains ITS1". The stretch from base 1 to 105 matches the Rfam family "5.8S ribosomal RNA", at positions 50 to 154 of the family's 154-position model. The record is from RNAcentral. Lineage: Eukaryota; Fungi; Basidiomycota; Agaricomycetes; Agaricales.